This 15301-nucleotide unclassified non-coding RNA is filed under the name Onthophagus taurus. RNAcentral's name for it is "fat-like cadherin-related tumor suppressor homolog, transcript variant X7". The record is from RNAcentral. Lineage: Eukaryota; Metazoa; Arthropoda; Insecta; Coleoptera; Scarabaeidae.
ACGCAGCGGCCGUCGCCGGUUCGGUAUCGCAACGCGACUUUUAAUGAUUCUCAAACACGACGUUGCCGGUGCGUGUUGGAUUCUUCACGUCCUCCAGGUUAGAGUUCGUUAUUGUUAGACUAAAAAAAGGAGUACCAAAAAGUUUUCGGAACAUUUUUCAAAAUUAUUAAAAAAGUUUUUGUGCCAUGUUUUCAAAAUAUCUAUGAUAAAUGAGAUUUAGUGCUAAAAAAGUUAAAGUGGGUUAAGUUUUUUUUGCAAAAUUUUUGGGAUAACUCGAUGGGAAUACGAUUUCGUCUCUCUUAGAACCUUCGUCAUGAGCUGAAAGAUGUCCAACACUUUCCCCAUCUGUUGCUUCAUCUUGGUAACGUUGAUCAGAUCCACGCUUGAGGAUUUAACGCCUCCAGACAAUGACUUCCGGUUCACUAGCCCACUCUACAAUGUCAGCAUUCCGGAAAACAGUGUCCCCAAGACCUACGCUUCGCCGGCUCCUGGUGAAGCCAGGAUCGGCAUCAAAAUGCCGAAGGACGUAUACAGAAACGUGCGGUAUAAGAUAGUGGGUGGUGAUUCAGAUAAAUUUUUUAAAGCAGACCAUAAAAUAGUUGGUGACUUUUCUUUCUUGUAUAUUCGGACUCGAAGUGGUAACAGCCACGUAUUGAAUCGCGAACGUAAAGAUAAAUACAUCCUGGAGGUGCGUGCGACAGCUGUUAAAGGACACAAUACUUACGUGCAAACCGACACUUUAGUGGUAGUUACAAUUCUUGAUACGAACGAUCUCAACCCUUUGUUUUAUCCGACUGAAUACAAUGUAACGGUGUUUGAGGACACACCCAUUCAUCAAAGCAUCUUAAAAGUAGUAGCAGAAGACGCCGAUUUAGGAAGAAACGGAGAAAUUUAUUACAGUUUCUUAGAAGAUACGGACCAAUUCGCGAUCCACCCAAUAACGGGUGUUAUUUCGUUGAGCAGACCAUUGAGGUAUAAUGAGGGACUUUUUCAUGAUUUAACCGUUCAAGCGCAAGAUCGCGGAGCUAUUCAUCGAACCAGCGCACUUUCUAGAGCCAAAGUCAAGGUUACAGUAAAACAAGUAAACUUUUUAAAACCGGAAAUUCGCGUGAGACGACAUCCACAGAUUGUAGAAAAUUCCAACGCCGAUAUUUACGCCAUCGUUAACGUAGUUGAUAAGGAUACAGGUAUUCACGGACAAAUAAAAAGUUUGGAAAUAGUAGAUGGGGAUCCGGAUGGCCAUUUCAGAAUUAGACCAACAUUCCAAAAAGGGGAGUACAAUAUCGAGGUAUUAAAACUUUUGGAUAGGGAGAAAACCCCUCAGGGUUAUAAUUUACAAUUAAGAGCUGUUGACAGAGGAAUCCCACCUAAAGAAAGUUAUAAAUCUGUCCCCGUACAAUUAUCAGAUUUAAACGAUAACGCGCCUGUAUUUAACAAAGAAAUUUAUGAGGUGAAAGUACCAGAAACAGCACCCGUAAACACCCCUUUGAUAAGACUGAAGGUUUCCGACGCCGACGAAGGUAAAAAUGCUCAAGUUUUCUUGGAGAUAGUUGGUGGAAAUGAAGGAGGAGAGUUCCAUAUUAACGCCGAAACGGGAAUGUUAUAUACAGCCGUUCCAUUAGACGCCGAAACAAAAUCGCUUUAUAGUUUAACAGUUUCUGCCAUCGAUCAAGGAAAUGUCGCAACCAGAAAGCAAUCUUCCGCUAAAAUUAAGAUAUACGUCGAAGACACUAACGACAACGACCCUAUUUUCGAUAAAUCAGAAUUAACCGUGUGGAUUGACGAAAAUAUGCCACCCGGAAGCUCAGUUACGACCGUAAGAGCUAAAGAUAAAGACCGUGGGGAAAACGCUUAUAUCUCCUACUUAAUUGCAAACUUGGUAAAAGUUCCUUUCGAAGUAGAUCAUUUUUCAGGAGUUGUAAAAACAACUCAACUCUUAGAUUACGAAAGUAUGAGACGAGAGUAUGUGUUAAGAGUGCGAGCUUCCGAUUGGGGACUACCUUAUAGAAGACAAACAGAAAUGCAACUCACCGUAAAAGUUAAAGACAUCAACGAUAAUCGUCCUCAAUUUGAAAAAAUCGAUUGUACCGGCCACGUGCCGAGAUACGCGCCAAUCGGUUCAGAAAUUAUCACUUUAUCCGCGAUAGAUUUCGAUUCGGGCAACAUCAUAAGUUAUAGAAUAGUUUCGGGAAAUGAAGACAACUGUUUUACUAUGGAUCAAACUUCAGGAACGAUUUCCGUUUCUUGCGAUCUCGGCGAUAUUCGAGUUCAAGAAAGAGAAUUAAAUGUCACGGCAACUGACGGACAACACUUCGCUGACAUCGCAAGAGUUCAUUUUAAAUUGGUUAAUACAAAGCGAAGUUUAGCAACUGGGAAUUACGACGAAGCCGGGGUUUUUGAAUGUAGAGAUACGGGAGUUGCGAGACGUUUAACCGAAAUAUUAUCAGCAGCUGAAAACAAUAAUAAACCACCAGAUCAAGAAGAAUUUGCGAUGAUGCCUACACGUUAUGGACAGAACGUACACUCUCCGGAAUUCGUUGAUUUCCCCAUCGAAAUUAAAGUGAACGAGUCUGUUGCUUUAGGGACAACAUUAAUAAAGUUAAAAGCUAGGGAUAGGGAUUUGGGGUACAACGGAAAGCUAAUUUAUGGAAUUAGUGCCGGGGAUGAGCACUCGGUGUUUUGUUUAGACAUGGAUGCAGGUGAACUUAAAGUGAUAGGUUAUUUGGAUCGGGAAAGGGAAUCUGAAUAUCUUUUAAACGUAAGCGUUUAUGAUUUGGGAAAACCGCAAAAAUCUGCUUCGAGAAUGUUACCGAUUACAGUAUUAGAUAUCAACGAUAACGCCCCUAAAUUUGAAAAAUCAAUCGCUAGUUUUAGAGUUACCGAAAAUGCACUGAAUGGAACCACUAUUUUUAAAGCAAACGCAACUGAUGCAGACUCCGGAGACAACGCUAAAAUAACUUACUCAUUAGUUACUGACACCAAGGAUUUUGCAGUUGAUAAAAUAACAGGGGCUUUAACUGUUUCGAACAAUUUGGAUAGAGAAAGACAGGAAGUGUAUGAAUUACGUAUUAGAGCUACAGAUGGUGGUGGAAGAGGAUCUGAUUAUCCUCCAUUGUAUUCCGAGGCUCUUAUAAGAAUAACAAUAGACGACAUCAACGAUAAUCCACCAAAAUUCUCUCUUCCUGCUUAUUCUGUUAAAAUUCGCGAAGAUAUCCCGAAAGGAAGUGUUGUAGCCAUCGUUUCAGCAUCCGAUCCAGAUUUGGGCCUUGAAGGGGAAAUAACCUAUUCGCUUGAAGACACCGAUAGCGAUGGUACAUUCAAAAUCGACCGAUUGUCCGGAACCAUUAGAACGACGAAACUGUUGGACUUCGAGGAAAGACAGAUGCACAGCUUGAUGGUCAUUGCCAAAGAUAGAGGCAAUCCGUCUUUAUCUUCGGAAGUGGGUGUUACCGUGGACGUCGUCGACGUGAACGAGAACAUGUACGCUCCGCAGUUCAGUGAUUUUGUGCUAGAGGGUGCCGUGAUGGAGAAUAGACCGCCUGGGACCGUCGUCAUGACUGUUAACGCGACGGAUAACGACCCCCCUGGUGAAGAUAGUAGAGUUGAAUAUUCGAUUCGGGGAGGUGAUGGUUUAGGAAUAUUCGUUAUUGAUAACAAUGGUACCAUAAAGACGGCUACUGUGUUGGAUGUUGAAACGAAAUCUCAUUAUUGGAUAACAGUUUUUGCUCAAGAUCACGGUGUGGUUCCUUUGUUUAGCAGCGUUGAGAUUUAUAUUGCUGUGGAAAACGAAAACGACAACAUUCCAUUGAGCAAGGAAGCGGUGUAUUAUGCGACCGUUCCCGAGGAAAGUCCUCCGGGACGUCCUGUUAUCCAAGUUGAGGCUACCGAUAACGACGUCAAUGAUACCGAAAUCGAAUACAAGAUCAUUACUGGAAAUGUUGGAGGAUUCUUUCAAAUUAACACAUCAACAGGUUUAAUAUCUACGACACCACGUCGACUUGAUAGAGAGAGUCAAAACGAAUACAUCCUCGAGGUCCAGAUAUCGGAUAAAGGGAGUCCUCCGUUAUCGUCGACUACGAGAGUUGUGGUUACCGUGGAGGACACUAACGAUAACUCGCCAGAAUUCGACGACAACUUCUACAAGGUGCAGAUUCCCGCCAGCGCGGAUUUCAACCAGGCCAUAUUUCAGAAUGAUGCUCCAGUAACCGACGAUUUCGACGGUGCUGAUGCAGCAGAAGAUGAAUAUUGGGAAACGUCAAGUUCCGGUGACGUUGUAGGCCUCGACUUCGUCUUCAGGGCCUUGGCUUUCGACAAGGAUGAAGGACGAAACGCUGAAAUUUCUUAUAGUAUCAAAUCUGGUAAAGGGAGGAAUAAAUUUAAGAUUGAUAAUUCAACUGGGAUUGUUUACGCGCAUAAAGGAUUUGAAGUUGGGCAAGAAUAUGAUAUUAAUAUUAAAGCCACCGAUAAUGGUGAAACUCCGAAGAGUGUCGUUUGUAGACUUUCUGUGUCUGUUAUUGCAACUCCUCCGAGUACUUCCGCUCCGCCUUCAAUUAUUCAACCCGUUAAGAUGGAAAUAACUGAAAAUGAUAUUCCGGGAUUUUUGGUUACUUUGUUGCAAGCUACGGAUCCGGAUGGGGAUUCUUUAUGGUAUGAUAUCAUCGAUGGUGAUGAAAGAAAUGAAUUUUACGUUGGUCGUCAAAGCGGAAACAUUUUAUUAGCAAAACAACUCGAUUACGAAACCCAAAAGGAAUAUAUCUUAAAUAUAAGUGUAACAGACGCGGUAAAUACGGUUUAUACUCAAUUAAAUGUCACGGUUUUGGAUCAAAACGACCAUAGACCGGAAUUUACAGAACCCGUUUAUAAAGUUGAAAUAUCCGAAUCGGUUCCGGUCGAAACGGAAAUCUUGCAACUUGAAGCCACCGACGCAGAUAACGAAGGAAAACUAGUUUUCAGCUUACACGCUGCACGAAACAUGAUCUCUUUACAAACUUUUAAAAUUGAUUCCAUUACCGGAUCGGUUACUUUAUCGAGAGCUUUAGAUAGGGAGAGUUUAUCAGAACACCUUUUAACUGUUAUGGUCAGAGAUAGUGGUACACCAUCGAAACGAAAUUACGCGAGGGUGCUAAUCAUAGUUCAUGACCAAAAUGAUUAUACCCCACAAUUUUCUGAAAAGAUUUUAGAAGGAAAAGUGUUUGAAUCGGCUUCCGUUGGAAGCGCGGUUCUUAGAGCGUACGCUGUUGAUCAUGAUAAAGGCGAAAACGCAAGAGUGACUUAUUCAAUAUCAUCGGGAAAUGUUGGAAAUGUUUUUAGUAUCGACCCGGAUAUGGGGAUAAUCCAAGUUGCGCGAGAAUUAGAUAUUUCAGUUGCAACUGAAUACACCUUAUACAUUCGAGCAACCGAUCAUGGUCAACCUUCCUUAUCAACGACAAUUCCCGCUCACAUCAUGUUAACAAUGUCCGAUAACGCCCCACCGAAAUUCGUCGAUAAGGAAGUUGCAGCCGAAAUUUACGAAGACCAACCACUAGGAAGUUUUGUCGCCUUAAUGAAAGUCAGAAGCACAUCAUCCCUUCAAUUUGAAAUUAUAACCGGAAACGUUGACGACGCGUUCAUGAUUAGUCCAAGUACCGGGGUUAUUAUCACCCAAAAAAUGUUAGAUUACGAAAGUGUUAAGUUUUAUAACCUAACGAUUAAGGCGAUUAAUAUGGCGAGUGCGAGCGCGACGGGAAAUGCAAUUAUUCAUAUUUUAGAUCGAAACGAUAACGUUCCUCAAUUCGAACAAGAAACUUAUUCAGGAAGCAUAUCAGAAUCGGCACCCGUUCAUUCAUUAAUCCUCACAAAUACAAGUGAUCCCUUAGUGAUAAAAGCAAACGACGCAGAUUCCGAAAUUAACGGAUUACUUCAUUUCGAUAUCGUCGAAAUUUUACCAAGAAGAUAUUUCCAAAUCGAUUCAAACACCGGAGCUAUAAGAACAAUUAGAUUAUUAGACCACGAAACUUUCGACCGAUUCACUUUUCACGUGACAGUUUCAGAUUUGGGUAACCCAAAAUUAUCAUCGGAAACCACCGCAAGAGUUGACAUAAUCGUAACGGACGUAAAUGAUUGUCCCCCUAUUUUCGAUCACAGCAUUUACAACGUAACUUUACUUCUUCCAACUUAUAAAAACGUUGCAGUUAUUAAACUUAACGCCACCGAUAAAGACACUGAUGGCUCGUUAAAAUACGAUAUAAUCGACGGCAACAAACAUAAAACUUUCGAUAUUAACUCGGCGACGGGACUUGUAACCGUUUUAGACCCGGAAAAUAUGAAGCAAUCUUAUAAACUUCAAGUUAGAGUAUCCGAUGGAAAAUUUUCGAGCGUUUCCAAAGUUUAUGUCCGAGUCGAACAAUCGGAAAAUUCCGGUUUAACAUUCCAAAAACAAAUCUACGAAGGAUCGAUAUUCGAGAAUUCAACAAAAAUUAAUAACGUUUGCGUCGUUAACGUUUUGGGUAGCGCCUUAAACGAACAUUUAGAAUUCCGCAUUUUAAAUCCGACGAAUAUGUUCAAAAUCGGAUUAACAUCCGGGGUUAUUAGCACGACGGGAAUUCGUUUCGAUCGAGAAAAUAAAGACAAUUACGAAUUAAUCGUCGAAGCCCGAAGCCAUAUGCCAGAAAGAGAAAAACCAAGAGUCGCUCACGUUAUCGUUAACGUAACCGUUUUAGAUGUUAACGAUAAUUGUCCAAUGUUUGUUAAUUUACCUUAUUAUGCGGUCGUUUCCGUCGACGAUGAAAAAGGAAGUGUUAUUGCUAAAGUACACGCUAUCGAUAUGGAUAGCAAUGAAAAUGGAGAGGUGAGAUAUGAACUUAUUCGAGGACACGGAGAAUUAUUUAAAGUGCAAAGGGAAACUGGUGCUAUUGAAAUAAAACAGAGUUUAGAAGGGCAUAAUCGAGAAUAUGAAUUAGAAAUUGCUGCAUAUGAUAAAGGUAUAAAUCCAUGCAGAACCGACGUAAAAGUGUACGUAAAGGUGAUCGAUCGUUCGAUGCCCGUUUUCAAAAAACAAUUUUAUUCGGAAAUCGUUCCGGAAAACGUCGAACUUCACUCUCCGUUAGGGCUUUCCGUGCAGGCAGAGUCACCUUUAGGUCGGAAACUGAUUUACAGUAUUGUGAAAGGAAACGAAAUGGAAGAGUUCGCGCUCGAUUUUAAUACGGGAGACGAUUUUGCAAAACCUAAUCUGAACCGCACGCUAAAAGAAUUUCUUAGGGCAUUUUUCAAUUGUGGCGGUACAAAUUCCUCUUCAGGUGUUAUUUCUGUUGUCGACGAAUUAGACUACGAGCAACAACAACAAUACGAGCUCGUUGUAAGAGCAACGGAUUCAGUUUCAGGAGUUUACGCGGAAGUUCCCGUAUCGAUAGUUUUGCAAGAUGUAAAUGAUUGCCCCCCGGAAUUCCAAGAGGAAAGUUAUAACAUAUCAAUAUCAGAAGCGGCUCCUUUCGGAACUUCGGUUCUUGUAGUUACAGCGAAAGAUAACGACACCGGGAUGAAUCAAAAAAUUAUUUAUUCGAUUAAGCAAGAAGAAGGAAAUAAUGCAACACUUUAUUUCCACAUUGAUGAACAUGAUGGAACGAUUUAUUUGAAACAAAGUUUGGAUCAUGAAAAAUCUUCAUCUCAUCAUUUCGUAGUUGUUGCUGCGGAUCAAGGAAAUCCGAGUUUGUCGAGUACAGCUCAUGUUUGGUUGACGGUUUUGGACAUGAAUGAUAAUCCACCCAAGUUUGAACAACCCUCGUAUUAUUGCGGGCUAUCGGUUUACGCGAAACGAGAUCAAUUUGUUACGAUUGUUUCUGGGAGUGAUCCAGAUUUAGUUGAUCAAACGAGAUUGAAAUAUUCGAUGGUUGCGGGAAAUGAGCAACAAACUUUCUCAAUCGACUCGAAUACGGGGAUCAUUUCUUUAACGAAUUUAGCAAAUUUUGGAGAUCAAAAAAGUUUGCUUUUAAAUGUUUCGGUUUCUGAUGGAGUUUACACCAAUUUCGCUCGAUUAAAAGUUGAGUUAUUACCCGCGAAUUUGCACCCCCCAAUUUUCCCCGAUGUAAUCAUGGACGUUGAGGUGUCAGAAAAUAAAGAACCCGGUGAAUUAGUUGCUAUUGUGAAAGCUAGUGAUAAAGAUUUUGGGAAAUACGCCACUUUAACUUACUCAAUACAAUCUGAUUUGUUAUUAGAGGUGUUUUCGAUCGAUAAAAAUUCGGGGAAAAUUGUAACUCGAACUAAAUUAGAUCGGGAAAAACGGAAAUUAUACGAAAUCCCCGUUAUGGCUACAGAUGGUGGGGAUCGUUCUGGAUAUUUAACAGUUCGCGUUAAAGUUUCCGAUAAAAAUGAUAACGCCCCUAAAUUUAAUUUACGCGAAUACAAAGGAUGCAUUUUCUCAAAUUACACCCAAGGACAAUUUUUCUUAAAAAUACACGCCACAGAUCCCGAUGAAGGAAUCUCCGCUCAACUUCAUUACGAUAUUUACAAAGAACCAUCAUCGGACGCCAAUGAACUAUUUGAUAUCGACUCAAAAACCGGACGAAUUUAUCUAAUUAAAGAUGCAACUUCCUACGAAGGACAACUUUUUCAAUUUUUCGUACGAGCAACCGACGGAGGCCCAACACCAAAACAUUCCGACGUUCCCGUAAGCGUCAUGAUAAUGGGACCAAACGAACAUCCCCCAAUUUUUGAACGAAAAGACGACAAAUUUUUCUUAUCGGAAAACUCACCAACAGGAACGAUCAUCACCAGUUUAAAAAUGAUCUCGAAUGUUACCGUCAGUUAUAAAAUUUUAUCCGGAUCGGAAGAUAGCCCAACUUUCGCCGUUGAUUCCCAAGGUCAUCUUAGCUUAGCAAGACCUUUAAAUUUCGAAUCGCAAGUUUCUCACGUCAUCGGCAUUUUAGCGGAAACCGAUUCAAGUCCACCACUUACAGCUUUAGUAGAAAUUACACUUCAAGUUUUAGAUGAAAACGAUAACGCCCCGCAUUUUGAAAGUAGUCCUUAUGUGAUUAAUUUAGCUGAAAAUACUGAAGAGGGGACAUCAAUUUUGAAAGUAACUGCUCACGAUGAAGAUCAAGGAAGUAAUGGUGAAAUAAGAUAUACUUUUGGUUCCGAUGCUGGUGACGCAAUAAAUGUAUUUUCGGUGGAUGCAUUUACAGGUUGGAUAACGACCUUAGUUCCGUUAGAUAAAGAAACGAAACCGGAAUAUAAAUUUUCGAUUAUGGCAACGGAUAAUAAACACACCGCUCGAACGACGGUUAUUAUAAAAUUGAAAGAUUACAAUGAUAGCCCGACUUUAUUCAAAAGAAAAAAUUACGAAGGUGCCGUCCAAGAAGACGCUUUACCAGGGACGGUUAUUUUAAAAUUAGAAACAACGGAUGCCGACAUUGACUUAGUAACCCCAAUUGAUUUUUAUAUCAUUUCCGGUGAUCCAAGUUCUCAUUUUAAAAUAAGACAAACUGGGGAGUUGUACGUUGUGAAACAAUUAGAUCGAGAAACCGUUCCUAGUUAUGAAUUAGAAAUUGUUGUUACGGAUGGUUUAUUUACGGAUAAAACGAAAAUUUUCAUCAACAUUUUAGACGCUAACGAUAACCCGCCUUAUUGCUUAAAAUACCGAUAUCGCCAAGUUCUUUCUGAAGGUAUCCAUCCGGGUUCGUUCGUUCUAAGCGUUUUGGCAACAGAUGCUGAUGAUCAAGAAAAUUCAAAAUUAAGAUACAUCUUAACUGGGGAUGGAUACGAAAAUUUCUCUUUGGAUAAAGAUUCUGGUCAUUUAAAAACCAUAACCCAUUUAGACCGGGAAAAAAUGUCUAAAUACAAUUUAAUUGCUCACGUUCAAGAUAAAGAACACACCAAUUGGGAGUGUUCCUCCCAAAUCGAGUUAAUCGUUUCUGAUUUAAAUGAUAACGCUCCAUUAUUUUCACUCCCCUAUUACUCUGUUGCAUUACCUGAAGAUGUUGAAGUUGGAACUUUAGUUACUAAAGUACACGCAACCGAUGCGGAUAUUGGAAUGAAUCGGAAAAUUAAGUAUUCCUUCAUCGAUUCAUUUAAUAAUCACUUUAAAAUGGCUUCCGAUAGUGGCAUUGUCACUUUAGCUAAACCUUUAGAUAGAGAAAUACGCGCAAUGUAUAAUUUAACAAUUCAAGCUGUUGAUCAAGGAACUCCCCAACUUUCCAGCGUUGCUUCGUUGAUUGUUAACGUGCAAGAUAUUAAUGAUAACCCUCCAGAAUUUGCUUCAAAAUAUUACUUUGCAACCGUUCCGGAAAUAAAUGCGGUUGGAACAGAAAUUGUAAGAGUGUUAGCAACCUCAAAAGAUACCGGGGUGAACGCAGAAGUUUAUUAUUCCAUCAUGGGUGGAAAUGAACACAGAAAGUUUUCAAUUCAUAACAAAACCGGAGUUAUAACACUUAUAGAAAUGUUAGAUUACGAAAGAGCGAAAGAUUACUUUUUAACCAUUCAAGCAAUCGACGGUGGAAUCCCACCUUUAAGUAACGUAGCCACCGUUAAUAUAACAGUAACAGAUUGUAAUGAUAACGCACCCGUUUUCGCACAAGUAUCUUAUAACGAAAAAAUUAUUGAAAACGCCACAAUUGGAGAUAAAGUCCUGCAAGUUACAGCAACCGACUUAGAUAGUGGCGAUAACGGAAGGGUUAGCUAUUCGAUUAUAAGAGGAGACCAAGAAGGAAAAUUCGCUAUCGAUGAAAACACUGGAUUGGUCACCGUUGCAAAUAAAUUGGAUAGAGAAAUCGUUUCUGGUUAUGUUUUAGAAGUGUUAGCGAAAGAUAAUGGACUCCCUGUUUUAUCAAGACAAGUUUUAGUUAAUAUUGACGUUGCCGAUGCGAAUGAUAAUCCACCCAUGUUUUCGCAAAGCAAUUAUACAGCAGUUGUGCAGGAGGACAAACCAAUCGGAUAUCCAAUUCUUAAAUUUACAAUAACCGACGCAGAUUCCCCCCCAAACACAUCUCCGUACACUUUCGAUUUCCGCUCUGGGAACGAAGGAAAUAUUUUCCGUCUCGAACAAGAUGGAGUUUUACGAACAGCCAGCAAGUUUAAUCAUAAAAUAAAAAAUUCUUAUCUCCUCCAAAUACGAGUUUUUGAUAACGGAACUCCCCCUCUCUAUUCAGACACGUUCGUGGUUGUUCGAGUUAUUGAAGAAUCUCAAUAUCCACCUGCCAUAACCCCAUUAGAAAUCAAUAUUAAUUCGUUUUUGGAUGAUUACCCCGGCGGAAUAAUCGGAAAAGUUUUCGCAACCGAUCAAGAUCAAUAUGAUACCUUAACAUUUUCUUUAUCCCCAACAACUGGGUUAUUAUAUCCAACGAUGGAACAAUUUAAAAUAGAUCGUGUUGACGGAACUUUAACAGCUUUACCACAUUUAGACGUUGGAGAUUACCGCGUAAACGUAUCAGUUACCGAUGGAAAAUAUUAUUCCCACGCAAUCGUAAGAGUUUACGUUGAAACAAUUAGCGAAGAAAUGCUUGAAGGGGCUGUUGUUAUUCGAUUUAGAGAGGUCAGCCCGGAAGCUUUCAUUUUAAGCCAUCGAAAAGGUUUCGUUCGGGCUGUUCGAAACGCUAUGAAUUGUCGAUUAAAAGAUGUAAUCGUAAUUAGCGUUCAACCAUCGGACGAUUUCGAACAUUUACGAGCUAAACGAGAAAUUAAUAAAGAUUUAGAUGUCUUGUUUACAGUUAAAAAAUCGGAUGUUGACACGUUUUAUUCGGCCGAAGAAGUUCGAAAAGCAAUCAAUGAUAACUUGGAAGAUUUAGAAUCGAGUACAAAAUUGGUUGUUGAAGAAAUCGUUCGAAUUAAAUGCACCCCAACUUAUUGUCAAUACGGAAAAUGUGAGGAUAAAUACGUUGUUGAACCAACCAAUGUUAAACCUAUCUCAACAGACGUUACCAGUUUUGUUUCUCCAAAACAUAGUCAUCGAAUGGAAUGUUUAUGCCAUGAAGGUUACGGUGGAGAUCGUUGCGAUGUUAUUAUUAAUGAAUGCGCAAGAUCCGGUUGUCCAACAUACAAAAUUUGCAUCCCCGAUUCUUCCAGCAAAGGAUUUUCUUGCCAAUGUCCCGAAGGGUUCGCCGGGUCAUCGUGCGAUAUCGACAUUUCAAAAUGUCACGAUGAAUCAUGUUACAUUGCAAGAAAUCCGAUGUCAUUUAAAGGAAAAUCUUAUUCCCAAUAUAGAAUCAUCAACAAGAAAGCCAUUGAAGAUCAAUUAAGUUUAAGUUUACGAAUAAGAACGAUGCAACCAUCAGGAAAUUUAAUGUACGCUUCCGGAAAAGUGGAUUAUAACAUUUUAGAAGUUGUAAAUGGAGUGAUUCAGUACAGAUUUGAGUUGGGAAGUGGUGAAGGUGUUGUUAGAGUUUCAACCGCUUAUGUUUCUGAUGGAAAAUGGCAUGAAAUCCGCUUGGAGAGAGACCAUAAUAACGCAAGAUUAAUCGUUGAUGGGGUUCAUUCUGCUCAAGGGUCAGCACCCGGAAUAAGUGAUAUAUUAAAUUUACAAAGUGAUGAGAUGUAUUUAGGAGCCGAAGUCCAUCGACAUCCAUCCAUUUUAGGAUUAGAAGAUAUCCAACGCGGAUUUACAGGUUGUAUGGAUGAUGUUAGAAUCGCAAGAAUCUCAGUUCCUUUACACAAAUCAGGAGAUAACUCAAUAGCUGUGCUUAAAAGAUUCGCAAAUGUUGAAUUUAGUUGCGAUUCGAACGUUCUUCUCCCAGCUGGAGCUUGCGGUUCUCAACCUUGCAUGAAUGGGGGAACUUGCAAAGAAACCCAAACUGGAUUUGAAUGCUCGUGUCAUGCGCGGUUCAAAGGAAUUCUUUGCGAAUACGACACCGAUCCUUGUUCUUCAUCACCAUGUCUUUACGGUGGAAAAUGUAUUGCGUCAAACGGUGAUUACACGUGUGAGUGUGGUUUUAGAUUAACCGGAAAAAGAUGCGAAUACGGAAAAUAUUGUUCCCCAAAUCCUUGCCAACACGGUGGAGUUUGCGAAGAAGGCGAUGAAGGAGCUUUAUGUAAAUGUAGAUCUUUCACCGGAGAAUACUGCCAAUUCGAUCUCAACGAAUGCGAAUCCCUCCCGUGUCAAAACGGGGGAACUUGUAUCAACGAAAUCGGAUCAUUUCGAUGUCUUUGCCCUGGUAACACAACCGGACAUUUUUGUGGAACCCCAGAAACGUUGGCAAUUUUAACACUUGGUCCCAUCACAUUGGGUUAUUUCGAAUUAAUCGUAAUCGCAUCAACGCUUUUUCUCACCUUGGUUAUCACAAUAACACUUUGCUUGUACUGCAAAUCAAAAAUGAAGAAACGUAAUCACGCUCAUCAAGGACAAAAUGUGAUCAUCAACGAAACCCGAAAAGAUCCAAUAGUGUAUAAUUCAAAUCGUCCCCAUGAAAUGGUCGAGUUAAAACGUGGAAAAUUGAGUAAUUUGGAAGGAAAUCGUCAACCGAGGCCGCAAUCUUACGCAGCUACCCCGCAAAAUGAAAAUUUCAACUACAACUUUGGGCCGAUACUCAACAAUUUCGAGUCGAUUCGCAGUUAUGGAUCAGCCGGUGAUGAGUUGGAGAAUCCUCCUUUGAAUAACUACGUGAGGAAUUUGAACUUGAAUAAUCAACAAUCCGGCAUCAGUAACUGCGACUCUGAUAAAACCGCGUGGGCCGAACAAAUGCAUUUGGCCCAAAGUUACGCUGAAAAACCCAAAGUUAAAAAUGAUUACAAUAUAUCCAGCCAAGUAAACUGUGAUCCUCCUAAUAGACUGUACGGUGGACGAAGUAACGCUACUAAAUCUUUAGGAUCGCCAUCUUUAAAUUCAACAGACGAUGACCAAAGAUCUGUUGGAAGUUACCAUUGGGAUUGUUCGGACUGGGCUCGAAACAGUCAAAUCCCGCUUCCUAAUAUAACAGAAGUACCGGGAAGCGAAAUUCCCGAUUCUUCCAGCUUCCAUAGCAAUGAAAGCAAUGAAUCGCGGUGCCAUCAUUUAAAUCCGCACACUUUAGGACCCAUCAAUCCCGAUAGAGAUAUUGAAACCCUUAAUGAAGACUUGGAAUCGGAAUUUAUGGCUGAUAGCGAAUGUGAAGCACACACGGCCAGUCCAAGUCUUAACGCUUUGGAUAGCGGAAACGAAGAGUAUAGAUUUACCACAGGGCCAAAAGAAACUCUUGUUUAGCAUCUCAUAUCUAGUUGUUUAAGAAAAAUUAUUUUUUUUAAAAUAAGAUUAAAAGAACUUCUGACAGCUACGUUCGGCAUCCAAACACUUAUCUACCAACUCACGGGUACAAUAUUCCCAGCGAAGCGGAAGGCGAUCCUUUGCAUAGUCCUGGAGCCGAUUCAGACGAUGUUGAACCUUACGGUUUUCCAAGCAAUCGAAAUCGACGAAAAAAUUGUGAUGAUGAUAUAGGAUCAGUUAUUACAGCUUUAGAAGAACGCGAUUCAUUAUUAGGCCCAACAUACGGUAGUAACAGUGAUAUGUCGACGAAUUUGUGUGAAAUCGAAGAUUCGGAGUGCGAAACCGAACAAAAACCAUUAAAUUACCUUGGGGUUCAACAAACGUCCGUUUGACGAAAAGAAACGAGGGAAAAUCGAAGGAUUGCAUAAAAAAAUAAAAAAGACUUUUAUUAAAAUGAUUGAAAUAAAAAUAAAAAAAUAAGAAAAGGUAAGGUGUUGAAGAAAGGAAUUGAUCCCGCGUUUUUUAUCACAUCCGAUGCAUAUCAUAACAAAGAUAUGAAUACGAGUGGAGAUUAAAUUAAAUAAUGAUCCAAAAAAAAUAUCGAACAAAAAUAAUUCUUGUAAAUAAAAUUAAAAAACAUAAUUGUAAAUAGACCCAUAAUAAAAUUAACGAUAAUGUAUUUUUUAUAAAUGUUAUCUUCUUUUCGAUAAAAAAAGAGACGAAAGGACCUAGAAACAACUUUUUCUUGGUUUUCUUUUUUUACAUUAAGUACGAAAAAGUAAUUAUAAGUACCGCGACGUUAUAAAUAAUUACAAAGAAACCAACUAUAAAUAUGUAUAUGUAAUUUUACUGAUGUUACGUGUACGAAACUGAAAAAAAACCUAAGACGAAGAAAAAAAUAUUUAAAAUGUGCCUAUAAACGCGUGCUCCCCCGCGAUGAAAAAACACAACGAGGGAGCCACUUUUAUAUUAAUUUUAAUAAAACGACUCUUCUAGAUGUUAAGUUUUAAGUGAUUGAGUUUAGUUAAAUUGAGUUUUAGAUUUUGACGGGAUCGAUUUUGUUCAAAAAUUGAACCCGUCCUUUUUAUAGUGAAUUUACGUUGUUUUGCGUUGUACAUGUGAUACGAAAAAGAAUUAAAAAAUUGUGUUUCCUCCAAUUUA